Molecule: unclassified non-coding RNA, 213 nt
Filed under: Hevea brasiliensis (rubber tree)
Lineage: Eukaryota; Viridiplantae; Streptophyta; Magnoliopsida; Malpighiales; Euphorbiaceae
Source: RNAcentral
CACUCUUCCUGGGAAGUCUUUGAUUGUUCUACCCACACAUUGUUGGUAGUCAUUUAUAGGCUCAUUGCUUCCAGUGUUGAAAGAACUGGCUGAAUCCGUCUUAUCAUUCCAACCAAGUGAGAGUUUCCCAUGGAACCCAUUUGUAAGCAAUCUAUUACCUAGUUCAAGAAUACGUGAUGAAUUCUUUCCGUUCUCUUGACCAGCUAAAAUAGG